UCAAGCGAACAAGAGCGCAAGGGGAAUGCCUUGGCAUCAGGAGCCGAUGAAGGACGUGAUAAGCUGCGAAAAGCUUCGGGGAGCUGCAAAUAAGCAUUGAUCCGGAGAUGUCCGAAUGGGGAAACCCACCUGAGCAAACCUCAGGUAACGCAUGGUGAAUCAAAUAGCCAUGCGUGGGGAACCGCCUGAACUGAAACAUCUAAGUAGGGCGAGGAAAAGUAAUCAACCGAGAUUCCGAAAGUAGUGGCGAGCGAAAUCGGAAGAGGCCAAACCGUACGUAGCAAUAUGUGCGGGGUUGUGGACGGCAAUGUCGGUAAGCUUCGUUAGACGAAUGGUCUGGGAAGGCCAGUCAAAGAGUGUGAGAGCCACGUAGUCGAAAAUGAAGGGAACGUAGCCGGAUCCAGAGUACCGCGGGGCACGAGGAAUCCCGUGGGAAGCCGGGGGGACCACCCUCCAAGCCAAAAUACUACCUGAUGACCGAUAGAGGAGCAGUACCGUGAGGGAAAGGUGAAAAGCACCCCGGGAGGGGAGUGAAAUAGUACCUGAAACCUUGUGCUUACAAGCAGACAUAGCCCGUUAAAGGGUGGUGUCGUACUUUUUGUAGAACGGUCCGGCGAGUUAUAGUAACUGGCGAGCUUAAGGUAUUCAGUACCGGAGGCGAAGGGAAACCGAGUGUGAAUAGCGCGUGAAGUCAGUUGCCAUAGACCCGAAACCAGGUGACCUAGCCAUGUCCAGGAUGAAGUGGAGGUAAAGCUCCAUGGAGGUCCGAACCCACGUACGUUGCAAUGUCCGGGGAUGAGGUGUGGCUAGCGGUGAAAUUCCAAACGAACUUGGAGAUAGCUGGUUCUCCCCGAAAUAGCUUUAGGGCUAGCGUAGGUAAUGAGUUUCACGGAGGUAAAGCACUGUCUGAGCUAGGGGGCGAUAAGCUUACUGAACUCUAACAAACUAAGAAUGCCGUAGAAAUGCUUACCUGCAGUCAGACUGCGAGUAAUAAAAUCCGUGGUCAAAAGGGAAACAGCCCAGACCCACAGCUAAGGUCCCAAAUAUACGCUAAGUGGAAAACGAUGUGAGAUUGCAUAAACAACCAGGAUGUUGGCUUAGAGGCAGCCACUCGUUCAAAGAGUGCGUAAUAGCUCACUGGUCGAGUGAUCUUGCGCGGAAAAUUUAACGGGGCUAAGCGUAUAACCGAAGCUUGGGAAUGUCGAAAGACAUUGGUAGGGGAGCGUCGUGUAUGGGGUGAAGUCGCAUCGGAAGGAGCGGUGGACUGUACACGAGUGAGAAUGCCGGAAUGAGUAGCGAGAAUUAUGUGGGAAUCAUAAUGGCCGAAAAUCUAAGGUUUCUUGGGGAAGGUUCGUCCGCCCAAGGUUAGUCGGGAGCUAAGGCGAGGCCUAACGGCGUAGUCGAUGCACAUACGGUAGAAAUUCCGUAACCACCGAACUUUAAGCAUAAGGGACGCUUUCAUUAAGGUUAUCCCGGGCGAUGGUUGCCCCGGGCGUAAGGGACCGAAAUAUAGUAGGGAAGUAACUGGCGUGAGAGACGAGAAAAGCUUAUGUGUAUACUAAGGUGCCCGUACCGCAAACCGACACAGGUAGAUGGGAUGAGUAUUCUAAGGCCAACGGGAGAAGGGUUGUUAAGGAACUCGGCAAAUUGGCCCCGUAACUUCGGGAUAAGGGGCGCCUGCGAGAGCAGGCCGCAGUGAAAAGGCCCAAGCGACUGUUUAGCAAAAACACAGCUCUCUGCUAAAUCGAAAGAUGAUGUAUAGGGGGUGACGCCUGCCCGGUGCUGGAAGGUUAAGGGGAGUGCUUAGCGCAAGCGAAGGUGCGAACUUAAGCCCCAGUAAACGGCGGCCGUAACUAUAACGGUCCUAAGGUAGCGAAAUUCCUUGUC
RNAcentral lists this ribosomal RNA (1887 nucleotides) under human gut metagenome. RNAcentral describes it as "bacterial LSU rRNA". It matches the Rfam family "Bacterial large subunit ribosomal RNA", at positions 3 to 1973 of the family's 2925-position model. The record is from RNAcentral.